This 484-nucleotide ribosomal RNA is filed under the name uncultured bacterium. RNAcentral's name for it is "partial 16S ribosomal RNA". It matches the Rfam family "Bacterial small subunit ribosomal RNA", at positions 30 to 507 of the family's 1533-position model. The record is from RNAcentral.
AUUGAACGCUGGCGGCAGGCCUAACACAUGCAAGUCGAGCGGAUGAAGGGAGCUUGCUCCUGGAUUCAGCGGCGGACGGGUGAGUAAUGCCUAGGAAUCUGCCUGGUAGUGGGGGAUAACGUCCGGAAACGGGCGCUAAUACCGCAUACGUCCUGAGGGAGAAAGUGGGGGAUCUUCGGACCUCACGCUCUCAGAUGAGCCUAGGUCGGAUUAGCUAGUUGGUGGGGUAAAGGCCUACCAAGGCGACGAUCCGUAGCUGGUCUGAGAGGAUGAUCAGUCACACUGGAACUGAGACACGGUCCAGACUCCUACGGGAGGCAGCAGUGGGGAAUAUUGGACAAUGGGCGAAAGCCUGAUCCAGCCAUGCCGCGUGUGUGAAGAAGGUCUUCGGAUUGUAAAGCACUUUAAGUUGGGAGGAAGGGCAGUAAGUUAAUACCUGGCUGUUUUGACGUUACCAACAGAAUAAGCACCGGCUAACUUCGUG